UACGAAGGGGGCUAGCGUUGCUCGGAAUCACUGGGCGUAAAGCGCACGUAGGCGGCUUCUUAAGUCGAGGGUGAAAUCCUGGAGCUCAACUCCAGAACUGCCUUCGAUACUGAGGAGCUUGAGUCCGGGAGAGGUGAGUGGAACUGCGAGUGUAGAGGUGAAAUUCGUAGAUAUUCGCAAGAACACCAGUGGCGAAGGCGGCUCACUGGCCCGGUACUGACGCUGAGACGCGAAAGCGUGGGGAGCGAACAGG
Molecule: ribosomal RNA, 253 nt
Filed under: uncultured bacterium
Lineage: Bacteria
Description: partial 16S ribosomal RNA
Rfam family: Bacterial small subunit ribosomal RNA
Source: RNAcentral